UACGGGAGGCAGCAGUGGGGAAUAUUGCACAAUGGGCGAAAGCCUGAUGCAGCUAUGCCGCGUGUAUGAAGAAGGCCUUAGGGUUGUAAAGUACUUUCAUCGGGGAGGAAAAAACAAAACUAAUAAUUUUAUUUCUUGACGUUACCCGAAAAAGAAGCACCGGCUAACUCCGUGCCAGCAGCCGCGGUAAUACGGAGGGUGCUAGCGUUAAUCAGAAUUACUGGGCGUAAAGAGCACGUAGGUGGUUUUUUUAAAGUCAGAUGUGAAAUCCCUGGGCUUUAACCUAGGAACUGCAUUUUGAAACUGAAAUACUAGAGUAUCGUAGAGGGAGGUAGAAUUCUAGGUGUAGCGGUGAAAUGCGUAGAUAUCUGGAGGAAUACCUGUGGCGAAAGCGGCCUCCUAAACGAAUACUGACACUGAGGGUGCGAAAGCGUGGGGAGCGAAACAGGGAUUAGAUACC
This 460-nucleotide ribosomal RNA is filed under the name uncultured bacterium. RNAcentral's name for it is "bacterial SSU rRNA". It matches the Rfam family "Bacterial small subunit ribosomal RNA", at positions 340 to 786 of the family's 1533-position model. The record is from RNAcentral.